CUGUAUGACUGGAAACCAAAUGUUCCUGCAGAACCUGCCUUGUUCAAGAAGUGGUAACUUGAGGGGCAUGCUCCGGCCUGAUAGGGUAGAGACAAGUCUUGCACAGCUCUACUUGGAAGCUUCCUUCAUAGCUUUUCACCAUCAAGAAGACCAAAGAGGAGUUGUCCUAGCAAGCCAGAUUUUGAACCACAUAGUUAGUAAACGAAGCCUAAUGGUGAGAAGCUUCCCAAAGCCUCCACCAGCUAGCUCCAUCCUAAGAACAACGUUCCACCUCCAGCUGUCCUCUGUUCCUCUGGCACUUCCCUGGGAUAUUCCCACUGCCUGCUGCCUGCAAUUGCUCAUUGAAAGUGGUCAGCAGGGGACUGCGACACAGAUCCUGGAAAUAUUUCAUCAGCCAUAGCACGGACCUCCAUUCUCACACCUCUGUUCCUUAAGUGAUAGAGUCUGUGUGAUGCCUAAGUUCUGCUGUGUGCAGAACUUAAUGCAGAAGAGCUGUGUGCAGUUUCUGCUGCGGAUGUUGCUCAGCAUGUUGCCAUGCUCUGCUCAAAGAGCACUUCCCCAGAGAAGGGAUGGGAUUGGUGCAGGCUGCCAAACCUGAAAAAAACAGUCCCAUAAUAGAACAGGAUUAGUUGACAGUUGUGGCAUGUCAUUUCUACUUCUUCCUCAUCUUUACUAACUGAACUGUUCAUUUGCAACCACAGGCUCCUCCCUAAGAAGAAUUUACAGCAAAACUGGUAAAAGAAAGCACUGUUCAGUUGAUUCACUGCUUACAUGGAAUUGGAUCCAGCCUAUAGAUCCCCAUCAAAGAAGGGUUGUGUGGAGCUGAUGCAGUUACUGUUUCAUCACGUCAUGCAUUUGAAGGAUGGACAAGGUUGAGCACAUCUGAAGCAAGAGUGUCAAAUUGUGUGGCAAAACAGAACUGCACUGGAUGUGAAGCGAACACUGAAACUAGAAUAUAUAAGGUGUCUCCUCUGUGGCAGUCACUCAAGUCAGGUUGUGACCAUGGGUUGAGUUCAUGAGGAACUUGCCAUAGAUUUCAUUGAACCUAAGAGGGCAGAACAGCCAAAACCAAAGCUGGAGGGCUACUGAAGCAUGGCACAGCUGCCUUUCCUCCCAGUACACAUCUCAGCUCCAUGAUCUCGGCUGUGAUGGGAAAACUUCCUUGAAAUGCUAGGAAAAGUAUCUCCUCUCCAUCUUCAAGCUCUGAAGAGAGCCAUAUCUCUCUCCCACAGGGAUUUUGGCAGCUAGCAAAAGCAACACAUCCUAUUUCUCAGUCUCUCUGGGGCUAUCACUUAGUGUAGCACUGGCAACUUACCAGGUCUCAAUGCCGUGGUGUCAGUGCUCCUUUAUCAGAAAAACACUCUUUACCUACAAAAUCCUGAAGAUGAACCUCAGCUGGUCAGAGUGCUGAUUGCUGAAGGCAAGGCUGCAGCAAAACCUAUGCUCCGGUCUCCCUUUGAUUUUUCAUGAAACAGGAGGAUGGUUGCAGCUGCAGUAGCACUUCACUUACUUCCUGAGCUGAGUCUGAGGCAUUUUUUUUCUUGGAGAAGGAUGAGCCAAUGAACAUCACAGCUGAUUACACUCUAGAAAAGAUGAAGGAUGAAAGACAGUGAGAUUAUUUGAUGUCUUCUGGUUUUCCAAGAAGGCCCUAUGACUUAAAGGCAGUUGAUGGUUCUACUUUUGAUUUGGUUAACACCAGGUGCAUCAUUUUUAAAAAUGGCAAACUGACUUCUUGUGAUCUGAACAGAGAAAGAUGAUAUUUAAGGCUCAUAUGUGAAAGAAAAACAACUGUCAGCUAUUAAUCCUACCUGAGAUACUGAGCUUUGCAAGUGCAGCUGAGGACUGGGAACUUCAAGCCAAUCUGCAAUGACAUUAACUCACUCAUUUUGGAAGCCACCUUCCCUUUUCAUCAGAUCCUCAGAUUUCAUUACAGCAGAAAGUGUAUUGUGGGGAGAUGAUGGAUAAAGAUUAUGCCAUGCAACUCAACAGUCCAUCUGUCACUCAGUAUAGCUUUUCCCGUCCUUUUCCAGAGUUCCCUGAUAAGUAAAAAAAAAAUAAUCCAUAUUCCUGCAUUGCCUUGGAACUUCAGAUAUUACUUCUGACUGUAUUGUGAUUUUCCAAUUUUGAGAUGUUUCUUGCUAAUGAAGAAGCACCAUUUGGUACUGGAUCUGGAGCUGCUCAAAGCCAAUGGGAAAAACAUGUUUCCUUCUGUUUAACCCUACCACUUGCUGCCUCCUCCCUUCCUUCUCUAAUUAGUUUCAUCCCCUGAUCUGAAGGAUACAUACUUACACAUUUCUACCAGACCAAGUAUUUUCAAACUUCGUCACAUGCAGACCUCUUUCUCAGCAAACAUGGGUCCAAAAUCAGGCACAAAUUCUCUUUUCACGCUCUUGUUUGCCUUCUGACUGUGGGAGGAGGGCUGGGCUAUGCUUUCAUCAUUUUUCCCUUUGCAUAGGUGCAAGAAACAGAAUGCAGAAUGAGGCAGGGCAGGUGCAGCAGUCUCUGCACAGCCAGGAUAAUACUAACACACAUGAUUUUGUCAUCUCUCCAAGGGAGCAUAUGCUUUUCUUCAUGUGCCACUGAACCUUUAUGUCAGUGGGAAGAAAGCAUUUAUAUCUCUCUGUGUACCUGAGGCUGGUUAUAGGGCUUUCAUACCCUUUCAUAAAAGAUGCUCUGUAGAGAUGCGGAAAGUUUUGUCAACAGCUGGGAAAAGCAAUGUUAUCUCUUGUAAACCUCUUUUUUUUGCAGAAUUCUAAAACCUACAAAGAACCCCUUCACUCUGCAUUUUGCAGUAGCAACUCCCUGGAGCUCCCAGUUCAGCCUUAACACAAGCAAGGUGCUGGCUUUUGCAACCUCACCACGCCAGGCAGCUUUGCUGAUAAAUAUAACUUCUACCAGGGCUGUGAGCAAAGCUACAUGCUGUCAUGGACAUGCUGUUGAGAAACCCCUGGGAGCCUGGGAACCUGGGCAGCACUUGCUCCUCAGCUGCUGGUUUUGUUGGUAUUCCAGGCACACAGGUUCCCAGCCCCAACCUGGCUGGCUGCAGGAGGGUCUGCUCUGCCCAUCUCAGAAUUGCUGCUUCUGGCUGGCUUUUGCAGAGACCCUGGAAAGCAGCUGGGUGCCCCCUUCCCCUGGCCGAAUGCUGUGGUAGUCAACAGUCACUCUACUACUUAAUAUUUCAAUUAUGCAUGGAUCACCCAAUGACUGUCAACAUCCAGUAAUUUGCUUGCAUGUUCCGUGCUCCCUGUGCAUCACAUCUCUCCCUUGGGAUAACACACUUCCAUUUCAGACCAGAGAAUAAGCUUGUGUGCUGAAAGCUUGUUUGUUUUAGUGGGUCUAAUAAAAGAUAUUACCC
Phalacrocorax carbo (great cormorant) is the source of this 3355-nucleotide non-coding RNA. The record is from RefSeq and is a predicted model, not a curated record. NCBI's taxonomy places the organism in Eukaryota, Metazoa, Chordata, Aves, Suliformes, Phalacrocoracidae.